AGUCGAGGGGCAGCGGGGCGGCAGGCUUGCCUGCCGUUGCCGGCGACCGGCGCACGGGUGAGUAACACGUAUGCAACCUGCCCGUGGCAGGGGGAUAAGCGGGGGAAACCCCGUCUAAUACCGCGUAACGCGGCCAUGGGGCAUCCCCGGGCCGCCAAAGGGAGCAAUCCCGGCCACGGAUGGGCAUGCGGCGCAUUAGCUAGUCGGCGGGGUAACGGCCCACCGAGGCGACGAUGCGUAGGGGUUCUGAGAGGAAGGCCCCCCACACUGGUACUGAGACACGGACCAGACUCCUACGGGAGGCAGCAGUGAGGAAUAUUGGUCAAUGGGCGCGAGCCUGAACCAGCCAAGUCGCGUGAGGGAUGACGGCUCUACGGGUUGUAAACCUCUUUUGCCGGGGAGCAACGGGCGCCACGAGUGGCGCCACUGAGAGUACUCGGAGAAAAAGCAUCGGCUAACUCCGUGCCAGCAGCCGCGGUAAUACGGAGGAUGCGAGCGUUAUCCGGAUUUAUUGGGUUUAAAGGGUGCGUAGGCGGAUCGUUAAGUCAGUGGUCAAAUUGAGGGGCUCAACCCCUUCCCGCCAUUGAAACUGGCGCUCUUGAGUGGAAGAGAAGUAUGCGGAAUGCGUGGUGUAGCGGUGAAAUGCAUAGAUAUCACGCAGAACCCCGAUUGCGAAGGCAGCAUGCCGGCUUCCUACUGACGCUGAAGCACGAAAGCGAGGGGAUCGAACAGGAUUAGAUACCCUGGUAGUCCACGCGGUAAACGAUGAGCGCUAGGUGUCCGGGGGGAAUGGCCCCUGGGUGCCACAGCGAAAGCGUUA
This 820-nucleotide ribosomal RNA is filed under the name uncultured bacterium. RNAcentral describes it as "bacterial SSU rRNA". It matches the Rfam family "Bacterial small subunit ribosomal RNA", at positions 60 to 862 of the family's 1533-position model. The record is from RNAcentral.